AGAGAGCCUCGGCUAGGUGUGGAAACAGGAAGAGAACUAGAACUGGAAGUAAAGCAUUGAAGAUGUGACUGAAUUGCUGCAAUCUCAUGAUCAAAUUUGAAUGGAUGAGGAGUUGCUUUUUAGGGAUGAGCAAAGAAAGUGGUUUCUCGAGAUGGAAUCUACUGGUGAAGUUGCUGUGAACAUUGUUAAAAUGCCAAUAAAGGAUUUAGGAAUUACAGAAACCUGGUUGAUAAAGCAGUGCCAGGGUGUGAGAGAGUUGACUUCAAUUUUGAAAUAAGUUCCACUGGCUGGGUGUGGUGGCUCACACCUGCAAUCCCAGUACUUUAGGAGGCCGAGACUGGUAGAUCAUUUGAGGUCAGGAGUUCAAGACCAGCCUUGCCAACAUGGUGAAACCCCACCUCUACCAAAUUAGCCAGGUUGCUCCUUGAGGGCAGGACAGUUCUUAUGGCUUUAUCCGUUGCGUAAGCACAGAGAGGUCUGCGAGGUCAAAACUAUUGUCAUGAUAGCAAGAUGCCUGUCUUUUUCAUUUAUUCUCACGGUGUGCAGAGGCUACAUGAUGUGUGAUGACAUCCUCAUUGAUGUUAAUGAAUGGUGCUAUACUUGAAUUUUCUAAGGUGUCAUUAGGUAGGUUUAGCAAUUCUCCUGCCUCAGCCUCCUGCAUAACUGGGACUACAGGGAAGCACCAUUUUCCACAAAACUCUCAAGAAGGACUUGUUGCAACUGGAAAAGCAAUUAAAUGUGAAUCGUGAUCCAGGAGAAAGUAACAACUCACAUAACUCCCAAAUUAAAAGUUUUCCAAAGAUA
Molecule: long non-coding RNA, 804 nt
Filed under: Homo sapiens (human)
Lineage: Eukaryota; Metazoa; Chordata; Mammalia; Primates; Hominidae
Description: non-protein coding THUMPD3-AS1:54
Source: RNAcentral